AUCUCUCAGUCACUCGCUCAACCUCGACCAUCCCUCGCACAAUCUUGAGCGACCAAUGCAACGGUCGCCCUCUCCUCACGCAGCUGACGCGCCGACUCGGCGACUGGGACCCGCUGGGGCGUAUCCAUAUUCGUCAUGUCCAUCAUAACUUCGCGAUGUAUCGCCUCGAAAUCAGAAGGCAGGGUCGAGUUGACGACUCGCACAGGGCUCGACUCAGUUGCCACCGCCUUCCCUUUCUGUUCCUUGGAGAGCCUACCGCCCGACGACAUGACGAGUUUCCAGAAAUCUACAACUAAAAAGGGCUAGAGAGAGAAGCAGAGAGAAAGAGAGAGAAAGUACCUGAGUCGGAUGAAGAAUGAAGAGAAUGAGAGGCGAGAGGGGUAUUUAUAGGGAGGAAGCGCUGCACGCCCCGAUGCGUCAUCAUUAGGCCUAGAUGGGCACAUUUAGGCGCAUGGAGUUCACAUCGUCUUGUGACGGUUCGACUUCUCGAGGUAAACCGAGACCGGUUUAGACCAAGACUAGCGGCCUUGAUUAAAACCAAAGAAAACCGCCGGUUCAGACCAAACCGUUGAAAUCACGAAUCGCGAGCAAGCAAGUCGCGCAUAAGGUCGAAGAGUCGAGCGAGAUCACGAGUCCAGAACAAUUAUCUUGCAGACCCUACUUCCAAAUUCGCUGAGUCGGCUACGCUACUCACCAGCGAACUGGGGGGACUUACUCUUGGUAUGGGCCUGACCCUCCCAAAAGGCCCAAAAGAUAAUUGUCCUAACACAUGACCACAAUGGAGAGAUUCGGUUCGUCGACUUGCGAGCCAGCGAUCGGCUCGACUCUAGACUGCUGUUAGCCGACGAAGCGAGCGACCGGAAGUCGUCGGCUCGACGACUCGAAGCAGCGGCCCGACAUCUCGGUCCAAUCGACGAAAAGGCCCAUUAGGUCAAGGAGAGCUAGGUUAACGCAUGACCGCUUCUAAAAGGAGAGGGAGAGGCAGCAAGGAAGGGAUCCGCAAAUCACUACACACUUACUUUCGGCUAGAAACUAGGGUUUGAUUUCUCUAUUAUCGUCGACUUGUAUCCUCCGGCGAACCAGCUUUCGCCGGUUCAUUUCCUUGUUUCUCUUCUCUUUGUAACACGACUAAGCAGUCUCUUGAUCUAAUAAAACGCCUUUGUUUUGGCCCACCGACGAGUCCUCGUCUCUUUCAUUCACUAGUUUGUUGACAAGUUCUCAGUUCAAACAAUGGCCAUUCUCUUUUUUGGAUACUUUAGUCUGUCCAUGGGCUCUGGGCUCAUAUUUUCCUCUAGAAAUUUCUGUUUGGCCCAUUUUCUUAUAGGGUUUCUGAGUUUAGCCGUCGAGAUUCUUCUUCUCCUCCAUCCUGUUCCUCUUACUCUUCCACAGUCGGAAACUUCAUCUCUGUAACGUAUUCCGUUUCUUUCUUUAGUCUCAUCAUUUACUUCUCCCCACUACUCAUCCCACUCUCUAUGAACUAAACAUCAUCAUUAUCAUCAGCGGUAACUGCUUCAAGCUCUGCACUAUAAAUACCUUCUUUUGCUUCGAUGAAGAGCCACAGUUCACUGAAAUCUCUGACUAAAACCUUUAUCAAAGUUUGAUAUCAGAAAUGGCUUCCUACACGCCGCUUGCUAACUUGAGAACCGGUCGCUGUUCCAACACCGCUGAGGUCCGGCUACUGAGGUUUUGGGAGGCUCAGAAUAUCAGGAAAGGUGGGGAACUGAUGAGUCUCGACAUGCUUCUCUUGGAUGAGCAGUCGACGCUUAUCCAAGGAACAGUCAAUGCGGCUCGACUCGACACGUAUCGAGAACUUUUUGUUGAAGGAUCUGUGUACUCGCUUAGUGGUUUCGACGUUACACGUAGCGACAACAAGUUUCGUCUCUCUGAUGCCCCUGUCUCCAUUCGAUUCACUGAUGGUACAGUCUGAUGAGUUAACAGAGUUUGAUAAGUCGAUACCAACUGAGAUGUUUCGAUUCCAAAGCUACGACCAGCUAUUGGCACUGGCAGAUACCAAUAGACAGCUACCAGAUAUACUUGGAGUUAAGUGCUAUCAGGAGCACCAUCAAUAAUGGAACCCAGGGUUCGUAGCGUGUCAUGCUUACACUACGUAUACAAAGGAACGUCAAUGUGUGUGUUAGCCUGUUUGACGGUUUAGCUUUCGCAUUUGCUGAGAAGAUGACAAGAAACGGUCGUGAGCCAAAAGUUGUCUUGAUCACUAGCAUCAAUCCCAAGGUUGUUGGAGGUCGAUUAUUCCUCAAUGGGACUUCUGGGACCCACAUCUACUUUGACUCACAGCUGCAGGCAAAGAACGCUAUACACAGUUGUUUGGAGAUGGCUCAAAUCAAAUAUCAUCUUCAUCGAAGCUGAUUCAUGCUCAGAAGAUAGUACCCCUAACUGUCUCUGAACUUAACCAAUAUGUCCUCUCAGCUGACCCUCAGGUGAUCGAGUUCCUUUGUACUGCCAAAGUAACUGGCAUCCAGUUUGAGGAAGAAUAUAUUGGUUGCGCAAGCUGUUCUAAGAAGCUCGUGAAAGAGGUCUCAGCCUUCACAUGCCUCUCUUGUGAUUAAAAAAAGCGCUGUCGCCUCACUCAGGUACCGUGUGGAGCUAUCUGUGGCAGACAAUACUGGGGAUGCAGUAUUUGUUGCUUUUGAUUUGGAUAUGGCUAAACUAACCAACAUUCCUGCUGCUGAAGCUGCGGAAGUUAUAGUAGGCUGUCCUCUCACCCAUUUAGAAUUACAAUAUAAUUUAUCUCCCGUAUAUUUUCAGUGGCUCAGCGUGCAUCACUUUCCAGAUUAAGUUAGGAGAGUUCAACUUCACUUUUAAGCAUCAAACCUUCACUAUCUCCCGUAUAUUUUCAGUGGCUCAGCGUGCACCACUCCCAGACUUUGUGGGCGAUGUGAUUUUCAUAGACUUUCAAACUGAUCUGCUAUCUAUUUAUAAUAUGACUUAAGUUAUUUGCUGGGUUUUGAUCAGGGUGCUCAACAUGAUCCGAAUGAUGGGUUGCAGGUCCAGAAUCCAAUCUCAAGUUUGGUGCCGGUUUGUAACAGUAGCACUAUUGUUGAGACCUCUGGUGGCAUGGCAGCUGAACUUGGUGCAAGUACAGAUAAGGAAGAUCAAACUUCGUCAUCUGCUGCACCAGUAGAAGGGCCUUCUGCAACAAGCACACCACCUGUUGAAGCAGAAGAGAGUAAGAAUAAGAAGCCACGAUUGGCAUAGAGUCAGCUGAGUGUCGCACCCACCACCGCAUUUACUUUUCUUUUUAAAAUCUUUGUUUUCAUUUGCUUUCUGUCUUUUUGUUUCCAACUUCGUAUUUUAGACUCCAUGUGGUGGUGCAUGUUUUACUUAUGAAUCCAAGUUCUUCUCUUAUUACAAAUUCUUGGCUCCAA
Long non-coding RNA from Brassica napus (rape), 3386 nucleotides. RefSeq lists it as uncharacterized. NCBI's taxonomy places the organism in Eukaryota, Viridiplantae, Streptophyta, Magnoliopsida, Brassicales, Brassicaceae. The transcript is spliced from 8 exons. The record is from RefSeq and is a predicted model, not a curated record.